AUCAAUGACGACAAGGAAUGCGUGCCCAGCGGCAUUCCUUAUUGACAUUACGGAGGAAUCGUCGAGGUCGUCAGGUUCGAGUACCACUCCCACAGGCUCGGAAACAGGUACGGAAGAGGCACGCGGCUCAGGACAGAACUCUACUACUGGCGUUGGAUGGAGAGGAAGCCUACCUUGGCGGACGCCGUUACUCGCGGAGGCAGUGCCGAGUUUAUCUGAACACGAUCGACUGAUCGACAUGGGGAAUCGGUUCGAUGCUUGUAUCGCAGGUCGUAGAAGUGGGUUAAUAGAGACCCGUCUAUGGACACGGCGAAUCACUACGUAGAAGUGAAGCAAAGGUUUCGUCGAACAGGAGAGAUGGAAUGGAUACGUCAGAAUGGGUCUAAACACUUUCGUCAAAUGUGAUGGACUUUCUACAUCAUCGGCUCUCUUAAGAACUUUCUCAUCAUACUGGCGAUAAAUAAUUGUAAAUUUAUAAUUUCUCGAUACCUAAUAAAGCGAUGGGUUAUCAGUAAUGUAGAAAUCCAAGCUACCUUAAAAUUGAUUAUUUGUUAAC
Long non-coding RNA from Hylaeus volcanicus, 556 nucleotides. RefSeq lists it as uncharacterized. Lineage: Eukaryota; Metazoa; Arthropoda; Insecta; Hymenoptera; Colletidae. The record is from RefSeq and is a predicted model, not a curated record. The transcript is spliced from 3 exons.